This 3370-nucleotide long non-coding RNA is filed under the name Homo sapiens (human). RNAcentral describes it as "long non-coding RNA NONHSAT182258.1". The record is from RNAcentral. Lineage: Eukaryota; Metazoa; Chordata; Mammalia; Primates; Hominidae.
UAGUUCAAGCCUGAAUUUCAAUGAGAUGGGAACACUUUUUAGUAUAAACGCAAGAUUUUCAUGUCUCCCUUUUAGGAAAAAUAGGGAUUAUGGCGUUCAUCUGUUUCAUCCAGAACUAGAAGCAAAACCCUAAACCUCAGACUCUUCCAGCAUGUCUGAUCCAAUCAAACAAGGGAAGAUGCUGCGGGUGCUUUGUAUGCUAAGGAAGUGCUACGAUGCCAUCGUCUGUCCAGGAAAAGAAAGGAACACCCAUCCAUGUGGUUAAGCCAUCAGAAAACUGGAGCAUUGGGAAUAAAGGAAUUAUUUCCACGAGACAAGCACGCCAGCCAUUGGCUCAUAAUGAGCUGAAAGACCAAUGACUGCUUCUCAGAGACUCCCUAGGGCCCAGUGUCCUGGGGGCAGACCUGUGGCUGAGUCAGCAUGGUGCACAGCAGAAAGUGGGGGGAGAGUGGCCAGCGCUGCCCCGGCGGGCUCUGUCUGCAUCACCUGGAGCGGCACAGACCCUUCAGUCUCCAUUCUCUCUUCAGGAAAGAGGCCUACUCGCAGAUGAACGCACCAAGGCUCAGGAGAUGAGGCAGCUGUCCAAGGUGGGUGAUGUGUGCUCAGACCUCCAGGAACCGGCGAAUGAGGCCUCAUGGAAAGAACGUGAGGUGGCGGUGGAGGGGAACAAGAGUGGGGAAAUCCCUCCAGGCGGCCUCCUGCACCCCCAGGCUCUGGAGACAGCCUUCACUGGACGCUGGAAUAUCAGAUGGGGUGAAGACAGAAAAUGCUGUGCUGGCCUGGCCCUCCCACAAACACUCCAGUUUCACGGGCUGAAGAGGGGACAAAGCAAAUCCGUGGGAUGCCGAGGGCACUUGGAUAACUUCCGCUCGGGAGAGAAGCCCAAACUCCGCGUCCCGGAGACCUGAAGUGUGGCCGCCAGUGGACACCCAGCUGAGGGAUGAGCAGGAAUGAAUGAGAGUUCCUAUUGCUCCACGUCCUCACCGCAUUUGCUGCUAUCUGUGCCCUGGAUUUGGGCCAUCCUGAUAGGUGUGUGGUAUCCGGUAGGUGUGUCUCAUUGUUGUUUUAAUUUGCAUUUCUCUGAUGACAUAUGAUGUGGAUUAUCUUUUCAUCUGCUCAUUUGCCAUCUAUAUAUCUUCUUUGAGGCAUCUGCUCAGAUCUUUGCCUUUGGCCUUUUGUUAUCUCUAAAACACAGAAGGCGGUGCAGGGUGCGUUAAGAAGGCAUGUCUGGGCAAGUGGGUGCCUUUGCCUCUCCCUGCUGCCCCCGCACAGGGUUUCUCCAGGCUGUCUUGUCACCCACCUCUAUUUGGUUGGGGCCACAUUUACCAGGGAUCCCCACUAUCCCAAAACUCCUCUUGAACACAUUGUCUGUCCAGGAGGGGCCUGUCGAGCUGCAGUUUAUGUUCUAUAGGUUCAGGCAGCUGCUGCUAAAGUGACAAGGUGACUCUCUGACCUGGUUUGCUGAGAUAGUCGCGGAUGACACCUCUUUUCCUGGCUUAAUGGUUACAACUCCCACCCCACCAAAGUGUCUCAGUUUGGACAAUAACCACAGUUAUUAUCCUUGGGAAAGGACAUUUGGGCUCUGACAUCUGGCCUGGCUGAAUCACCUCCUCCCUGUUGGAGGGGGUCAGGGGUCAGGGUUGCUUCCCUGGAGCUCUGGAAAGACCAGUGAAGGUGAGGGAGGUGUGACAGUAGAAACUGCUGCGAAGAGCAGACUCCUCUGUCCAUGGGCAGGGACCUCAAAGGCUUUCACUUCACACCCACCUCCAUCAACGUCAAUGGUCACCAAGGUCCUGAAGCCUUCCUGAAUUUCUUCCUGCAUUUCUCCAACCAGAGCAAUUCUCUUUCUUUGAGUCCUCAAGUCCACACUGAGCUUCUUUCUCCUCCCUUAGUACAUUCCUUCUCCUGAGAGACAGGUUAACAUGCAGCAGCUCUGUGACCUUGGGCCUCAGUUUCCCCAUCUGCAAAAUGAGGAGGGUCAUAGUGCCUGUCUCAUAGAGUCAUGAAGAGGAUAAAGUGAAUGAAUACAUGUGAUGUGCUGGGAGCAGCUUCGGACACAUGGAAAUGUUCGCUAUCAUUUUAAGCACUGAAUCUUAGAUUGUAAGCAUCUUUCCUUUAAAAGAGCAAAGUUCAAAGUUAUAUGUUGAGUAAUGACCAUAUGCCAGGUGCUUUCACACCCACAUCAAUGCUCCAGACUCCAAGAGCUGGCGGUCAUUGGAUCCAGUUCAUAGGGUGGAGAAGAGGAGGUUCAGAGUGGUGAACUAACGGGCCCAGGUCACACAGCAGAACAGUGAAAAGGUCAUGGAUGGCUUAAAAUACCAGCCCUUCCUUCACCCUCCUUCAGCCUCUUUCUCUCUCUCUCUCUCUCUCUCUCACACACACACACACACACACACUCCCUUCAUAAAAAUCUCACAAUGGCAAGUGUCUUAUAUGAGACACACAGAGGAGAAGAUCCUGUGAAGAGGGAGGCAGAGAUUGGAGAAUCACAGCCACAAGUCAAGGAAGGCCGACAACCACCAGAAGCUGGAAGGGGUAAGAGCAGCUUCCCCGCGCUGUUUCUAGAGGGUGCAUGGCCCUGCCAGUACCUUGAUUUUGGACUUCUGGCUUCCACAGUUGUGAGAUAAUACACUUUCCUUGUUUUACGUCAACAUUUUGUGUAAUUUGUCUCGGCUGCCACAGAAAGUGAAUAGAAAUAGUUUUCCCUCAGCGCAACCUGGUGAUGCACGUGUUCACUUUGAAAACACGUCAUUUCCACCUGCAAAGGUUUUAGGUUCCUCAAAGGGACUGUGCAGAGGGAUCGCUGCAAGUGAAGUCAACAUUUGGCCUCAUUCUGUUAGAACACCUGCAAGAGGAGGCUCAGGUGCUGACUGAACAAAUCCCCUGGCUCUUGGGGUGGUCCAUGCCUUUACCGAAUGCCUCCUUUGUUGGGGUCAUUCUGCUGGGAAGACAUUCCCAUUGGAAGAUACUGGACCUUUCCUUUACCAUGUCAGGCAUGACACUCCUACGUUAAAAAACUGUCCAUACCAAGGGCAUGACAGGCAAUUCAUAGAAGAAAGCAGGAUGAUCAAUGGCCUAUGAAAGGAUCCUCAGCUGUGGCUAGGCGCAGUGGCUCACCUCUGUAAUCCCAGCACUUUGGGAGGCCAAGGCAAGAGGAUCACUUGAGCCCAGGCGUUCGAGACUGGCAUGGGAAACAUGGCAAAACCCCAUCUCUAUAAAAACUUAGCUGGGUGUGGUGGCAUGUGCCUGGAGUCCCAGCUACUCAGGAGGCUGAGGUGGGAAGAUCAUCUAAGCCCAGAAGGUUGAGACUGCAGUGAGCCACCAUCGUACCACUGCACUCCAGCCUGGAUGACAGAGUGAAACCCUGUCA